UUUUUUUUCUUUUUGCAGUCCAAAACAUCAUAUAAUGAUGACCGAGGUAGUUUACCAGUAGGCUUAUAUAAGCAAGCUGUUUACUACUCCCUCCGUUUCAAAUUGCAUGUCGUUUUAGCUUUUCUAGAUACAUAGUGUUUGCUAUAUAUUAAAAGCCAAAACGACUUCCAAAUUAGGAGUAGUAGAGAACUAGGUAUAGGUACGGUUUCUAUGAUUUACAGGACCUUUCUCCAUAUCGUUUUUUUCCUAAAAGGUUUUUUUUUUGUUGAAAAGGAUUUCUCCAUCUCGUGGCAACGAAUUUCCACACCGAACCAGCAGGAGAUGGUGACUUGAGGACCCACUGCCAUAAACCUGAAUCCUAAAUAAAUAACGCCAACUUGACCGCAGCACCAAGCAAGAGGAUACAACCACUCCAGCACAAAAUUUCCACUCUGCAACCACUCCAGCACAAAAUUUCCAGUCUUGAUAUCACAUAUAUCCCCCAAAAAACUCCACCAAGAUCCAUCUCCACCUAUCCUGGUGAUUCUACAGAACUAUCGAUGCACAGAGUUUUGCCCCCAAAAAAAAUAAGAAGAAGAAAAUAAUGAGCGCAAAAGGAAACCCAGUAUCACUUCAUCACUUCUCACAAUGAUUCAUACCUCAGAUUCGGCGCUUCGAACCCUGCAAGAGGAGGAGGACCAACACUUGUUACUCGUCACGAUCCCAAGCGAAAGAUCCGGGGAGCGAGCCGGAUUCGAAGGGGGCAUGGAAAGGAAGCAAUCAAGUACCGAAGACGUCGGCGAUGAGGACGACGGCGGCCUUGGAGUCCUCGGCGCCGGCGACGUACGCCUUGAGCCCGCCGAAGCUGUCCACGACCUUCCCCGCCCCGCCGGCCGGGUCCAGCGCCGGCGGGUUCUCGCAGCACUGAGAGCUCGCCAUUCCUCUCUCUGUCCACUCUGUCGGAAUAUGGUGGUGGGCUGAGGCAAAGAUGGGCGCAGCAGAAGGGACGAGACGGGAGCAACGGACGGGGGAUGGUAUAAAUGGGGGACACGUAGAGAGAGUGCCGUGAUCGCGUGGGUUUUUCCAUCGAGGGAUGGCGAGCGCUGAGCGGCGAUUCGAGAUUCCAAAUUGCGUGGGGAACGAGCGGAGGGGGCCCGGCCGGCCGGCCGGCCGGCGGGGAGACCGGGAGAUGAGAAGGUUCGAGACUGCUGGGGGUUUCGGUCGCGGCGGAAGGGUCCAGUAGGCUAAUGAUGGCCUAUCGUACCCGAGGUCAGGAAUCUACGGGAGGACGUGGCCGGGUCCUGCGCCGAUGGAGGAGGGGGCGGAAGUGUGCAGUUGCCAGUCCAUCUGUUUGGAUACCGGGUAAGUACAUUGCUGCACGUCAGCGGUCUUACAGGUCGUCUCAUGCAGUGCCACGUAGGAUUUUUGAUGAUGUGGAGGAGAGAGCGAGGAGAGAGAAAGAGGUCGUUGCUUCACGAAACAACCACUUAUGAGCUAAAUUGUAGGACUACGAGAUAACUUAACAAUCAUUGUACGAGUUAUUGUUGCCAUGCAACUUAUAAUAUUUUAUUUUUCUUAUGCAUAAAUUAAGGAAUUAUGUACCACUACCAGACAACUUACAUGACAACCUAUUGUACAUGUUACCUGUUGAAUUGUCUCAAGAUUACGUGUCAAUGCAUGAGACCGCCUAUUAGACGACACUAAUGUACUUGCCCUUAUAAGUAUUGAAUGAGAUGGACAUUAUCAUGUUUGUCCCUAAUCAUGGAGAGAGAGGGAGGGCAACUAGGCAUUCAAUGAGGGCAAGAGGUGUAAAAUGCAUCUUUUAGUCCCCAUAAGCAACUCUUGUGUUGCUUAUGGGCUAAAAAUAAGCAGCCCCAUAAGCAACCUCAUAAGCAAGGGUGUUUGGUAUUUUUAGGCUAAAAGUUGCUUAUUUUAGUUGCUUAUGCAUAAGCAACUCAAACCAAACACCCCCUAAUGACACGAUGCGUAUUCGCAAUCCGCCCUCGAUCAGGGAUCACCGUUCACCAGCAUCACCGCGCUAGAGGGUAUUUGAUACUAGGUGCUAAACUUUAGCAGUGUCACAUUGAAUGUUCGGAUGCUAAUUAGGAGGACUAAACAUGAGCUAAUUACAAAACUAAUUACACAUAUGGAGUCUAAUUCGCGAGACGAAUCUAUUAAGGCUAAUUAAUCCAUCAUUAGCAAAUGGUUACUGUAGCACCACAUUGUCAAAUCAUAGACUAAUUAGGCUUAAUAUAUUCGUCUCGCGAAUUAGACUCCAUCUGUGCAAUUAGUUUUAUAAUUAGUUUAUAUUUAAUACUCCUAAUUAGUAUUUAAACAUAUGAUGUGACGGGUGCUAAAGCACCCUGAAGCCAAACAGGCUCACAAUACGCGGAGGAAUUACCGCAGCAAAUCAACCGGGGUUGGAUCAGCAGUGAUGUCACCUACUCACCGUGCUGUUGCCCCUUCCGAAGUUCCGAGAGAGGAUCUGGUGCUCGCUGUUGUGCAGUUGUCGGCGGCUCGAUGCGUUCCUGUUCUCAACGGCUGUCUCACUCACAGUGCACAGAUGUUUGUUGGGCUCAAGUAGGAGGGGAAAGAAUGUAUCCGCAGCCGGUGUUCACUCGGCAGCCCAUUCCCUCCCUCCCGGGCGUCAAGUAUUCGGCCCGCCCCUACCUCAUUUGCACCGCGGCCCAAUCCUCCUCUUCGCUAGAGGCCCGUUCCCAAUGCUUGUUUUUUUGCUUGGUAGUGUAGUGUGUGUUGGUUUGGCGAUGGAAGAUCUCUUUCUGUCACAUGGAUAAAUUGAUUAUCUGUGGGCUUCUGAGCCUUUUCAGCCAUCCCAUCUCUUCUUGUUGCACAAAUGUUCAAGAGCCCAGAGAGCUCAUGAGCAGAAGAAAGAGAGAUUAUUUCUAUUUUCAUCUUAUAUCUUUAAAGUAGUUCAUCCAAAAAAAAAUGGUAGAGCACACCGUACGCUUUCGCCAAUAUAAUCACGAUGCACUACUUGCGAUCAUGCCUUUGCAAGCCCAGGAGAA
Molecule: long non-coding RNA, 3005 nt
Filed under: Setaria viridis
Lineage: Eukaryota; Viridiplantae; Streptophyta; Magnoliopsida; Poales; Poaceae
Description: long non-coding RNA (SVIR_LNC002908)
Source: RNAcentral